Molecule: long non-coding RNA, 257 nt
Organism: Gigantopelta aegis
Lineage: Eukaryota; Metazoa; Mollusca; Gastropoda; Neomphalida; Peltospiridae
Exons: 3
Source: RefSeq, a predicted model, not a curated record
UCUAGGCUUACCCGAGGGAAACAAAUUAAGCAGCUCCUGAAAAACCGAUUGGCGUUAUGUCACAUACAACUUGUCACAAGUAGCGUGCGUGAACCGCCUGUGUUCGUGCCAGACCCCCAUAAAGCGAGUUAAACCAGAUUCCCCAUCGAGUACCUGGCGCCUUGCAUCUCAACACCGCGACUCAAACCGCAUACGUGUUGAGUAUCAGCGUACUGUGUGUGCUGUUCUCUUGACUUUAAAUAAAGUCUGUCACCAAU